RNAcentral lists this ribosomal RNA (450 nucleotides) under uncultured bacterium. RNAcentral's name for it is "partial 16S ribosomal RNA". It matches the Rfam family "Bacterial small subunit ribosomal RNA", at positions 338 to 795 of the family's 1533-position model. The record is from RNAcentral.
CCUACGGGGGGCAGCAGUGGGGAAUUUUGGACAAUGGGGGCAACCCUGAUCCAGCCAUUCCGCGUGAGUGAAGAAGGCCUUCGGGUUGUAAAGCUCUUUUGUCCGGAGCGAAACGGGCGGCCCUAAUACGGUCGUCUACUGACGGUACCGGAAGAAUAAGCACCGGCUAACUACGUGCCAGCAGCCGCGGUAAUACGUAGGGUGCGAGCGUUAAGCGGAACGACUGGGCGUGAAUUGUGCGCAGGCGGGUGAACUCCCCGGGCUCAACCUGGGAAUGGCAUUUGCGACUGCAAGGCUGGAGUGUGGCAGAGGGGACUAGAAUUCCUGGUGUAGCAGUGAAAUGCGUAGAUAUCAGGAGGAAUACCGAUGGCGAAGGCAGGUCCCUGGGUUAACACUGACGCUCAUGCACGAAAGCGUGGGGAGCAAACAGGAUUAGAUACCCGUGUAGUC